Long non-coding RNA from Mytilus trossulus (common blue mussel), 1337 nucleotides. RefSeq lists it as uncharacterized. NCBI's taxonomy places the organism in Eukaryota, Metazoa, Mollusca, Bivalvia, Mytilida, Mytilidae. The record is from RefSeq and is a predicted model, not a curated record. The transcript has 2 exons.
GGUUAAAUUGUCGUUUUUUUUGUGGCAAUCUUUUAAUUUUAUUUCGGAGAGACGUUUAUCAGAAUAAUAUCUUGAAAAGGGAUCGUAUCACCAUGGGAUGGCUACGUCACAUCCAUUCUGCUCUAGAAGAUAUCGACUAUAGACAACUCUCAACAAAACUUAUACUAGUUUUCCUGUUCUUUGUGACAUACGUCAUCGGUUUUGUUAUUUCUGCACUACUGUCGAAAUCAUCAACAACGUACGUUAAUAUGUCGAAAAAAGAAAAAAUAUUUUGGAAUUCAGGAUUUGUUCGUACAUGCUUUUCGAUAUUUUGUGUAGGUGGAUGUUUGUUGUGUUUAUUUGUCGAUAAAGAUUACAAAGAAAAUACAGUACACGAUACAACACCGGCCAGUUUUAUCCUAUGUACCUCAGCACUUGGUUUUUUUGCUUUUGAGUGUACUGCUUUAACAUUUUCUGACAUAAGUUAUAGAAAGUUUAGUUACCUUUUACAACUACAUCAUUGGAUAGGUAUGUUUGUCUUAUUACAAGUAGUAGUAUCUGACGUUGGCCACUUGUUCACUGUGAGGUGUUUACUUUUGGAAUCGAGUGCGCCGUGUACCUUUACAUGCUGGGUAUUGCUGAAACUUGGGAAAGGAAAAACGACUAUCUGGAAAUUAAACCAAUGUUUAUUAGUACACGUUUACCAUUUUCGGUCUUUUGUAGAAUUAAACAUAUGCUAUUUAACAUUUUUCAAAUACCGAAAUGAUCUACUCUCGGUGCUUCCAGUACCAGCGUAUAUACUAGCUUGUACAUAUGUGGUGUUGCUGACUUUUUUGUUGACACCGUACUGGACAUAUAAAAAGACGACACAACUAUAUAUACCAAAGGAUUUUGAGUUCAGUGAUUCAACCAAUCAAACGCACUUAAACGGUGAUGUGAAAAAAUGUGCUUAGUACAAGAAGAUUUUAAAGAGGAAUAUAUGUACCUUGUCGGGACUGUGCUAAAUCGAAAAGAAUGAAAGAAAGAGAUGGAAAUAUUGUUAUAUUAAUUUGAAAUCUUAGUAGAUCCCUGUUACAUAUUUUAUAUUUUGUUGAAUAUUGAAUGCGUCUUAAAUAGACAAUAGACACAAUACAAAGCAUUAGUUUAGGUUUGAACUAUGAAUUGAUAAGAAACACAAGCUAAAUAAAGAAAAUAUUAAGACACAAACAUGUUGAAGGAAUCCCGAUCUAAUUCUUUCAUAACUGAUGUCUUGUUCAUGGGUUCUUAUAUAAAUGUUCAGUUAUCGUUUUGUUUUGUCAACCAUGCUCAAAGAUUUUGAUAUUUAUUUAAAUAGAAAUUAAAGAUUAUAAAUUCGUGUA